Molecule: ribosomal RNA, 460 nt
Filed under: uncultured bacterium
Lineage: Bacteria
Description: partial 16S ribosomal RNA
Rfam family: Bacterial small subunit ribosomal RNA
Source: RNAcentral
CCUACGGGUGGCAGCAGUGAGGAAUAUUGGUCAAUGGGCGCGAGCCUGAACCAGCCAAGUCGCGUGAAGGAUGAAGGUCCUACGGGUUGUACACUUCUUUUAUAAGGGAAUCAAGUGAGGGACGUGUGCCUUUUUGUCUGUACUUUAUGAAUAAGGAUCGGCUAACUCCGUGCCAGCAGCCGCGGUAAUACGGAGGAUCCGAGCGUUAUCCGGUUUUAUUGGGUUUAAAGGGAGCGUAGGUGGUCUUUUAAGUCAGUGGUGAAAGUUUGUGGCUCAACCGUAAAAUUGCCGUUGAAACUGGGGGGAUUGAGUAUAUUUGAGGCAGGCGGAAUGCGUGGUGUAGCGGUGAAAUGCUUAGAUAUCACGCAGAACCCCGAUUGCGAAGGCAGCCUACCAAGCCAUCACUGACGUUGAUGCACGAAAGCGUGGGGAUCAAACAGGAUUAGAUACCCGGGUAGUC